Oryctolagus cuniculus (rabbit) is the source of this 143-nucleotide small nuclear RNA. Its record names the gene U2. It matches the Rfam family "U2 spliceosomal RNA". Rfam says of the family: U2 is a small nuclear RNA (snRNA) component of the spliceosome (involved in pre-mRNA splicing). Complementary binding between U2 snRNA (in an area lying towards the 5' end but 3' to hairpin I) and the branchpoint sequence (BPS) of the intron results the bulging out of an unpaired adenosine, on the BPS, which initiates a nucleophilic attack at the intronic 5' splice site, thus starting the first of two transesterification reactions that mediate splicing. NCBI's taxonomy places the organism in Eukaryota, Metazoa, Chordata, Mammalia, Lagomorpha, Leporidae. The record is from Ensembl.
AUCGCUUCUCGGCCUUUUGGCUAAGAUCAAGUGUGAGAAUCCGUUUUUCUUUUUUCCUUUACUUUUUUUACCCAUUCUAUUUGUCUUGAAAAAAAUUAUCAGUUUCUUUCAUUUAAAUUUCACUAGUGAAUGUUGAACCAUGA